RNAcentral lists this long non-coding RNA (2161 nucleotides) under Homo sapiens (human). Its description in RNAcentral is "Pvt1 oncogene". The stretch from base 581 to 749 matches the Rfam family "Pvt1 oncogene conserved region 4". The record is from RNAcentral. Lineage: Eukaryota; Metazoa; Chordata; Mammalia; Primates; Hominidae.
AUGGGCCCGCGGGCCGGGCGGGCUCGGGGCGGCCGGGACGAGGAGGGGCGACGACGAGCUGCGAGCAAAGAUGUGCCCCGGGACCCCCGGCACCUUCCAGUGGAUUUCCUUGCGGAAAGGAUGUUGGCGGUCCCUGUGACCUGUGGAGACACGGCCAGAUCUGCCCUCCAGCCUGAUCUUUUGGCCAGAAGGAGAUUAAAAAGAUGCCCCUCAAGAUGGCUGUGCCUGUCAGCUGCAUGGAGCUUCGUUCAAGUAUUUUCUGAGCCUGAUGGAUUUACAGUGAUCUUCAGUGGUCUGGGGAAUAACGCUGGUGGAACCAUGCACUGGAAUGACACACGCCCGGCACAUUUCAGGAUACUAAAAGUGGUUUUAAGGGAGGCUGUGGCUGAAUGCCUCAUGGAUUCUUACAGCUUGGAUGUCCAUGGGGGACGAAGGACUGCAGCUGGCUGAGAGGGUUGAGAUCUCUGUUUACUUAGAUCUCUGCCAACUUCCUUUGGGUCUCCCUAUGGAAUGUAAGACCCCGACUCUUCCUGGUGAAGCAUCUGAUGCACGUUCCAUCCGGCGCUCAGCUGGGCUUGAGCUGACCAUACUCCCUGGAGCCUUCUCCCGAGGUGCGCGGGUGACCUUGGCACAUACAGCCAUCAUGAUGGUACUUUAAGUGGAGGCUGAAUCAUCUCCCCUUUGAGCUGCUUGGCACGUGGCUCCCUUGGUGUUCCCCUUUUACUGCCAGGACACUGAGAUUUGGAGAGAGUCUCACUCUGUGGUCCAGGCUGAAGUACAGUGGCAUGAUCCCAGGUCACUGCAACCCCCACCUCCCGGGUUCAAGUGAUCCUCCUGCCUCAGCCUCCCGAGUAGCUGGUAUUACAGGCGUGUGCCACAAAGCCUGGCUAAGUUUUGUAUUUUUAGUAGAGACGGGGUUUCACCAUGUUGGCCAGGUUGGUCUCGAACUCCUGACCUCAAGUGAUCCACUCACUUUGGCCUUUCAACGUGCUGGGAUUACAGGCGAGAGUCACCGCACCCGGACGACUCUGACAUUUUUGAAGAGUCCAGAAUCCUGUUACACCUGGGAUUUAGGCACUUUCAAUCUGAAAAAAUACAUAUCCUUUCAGCACUCUGGACGGACUUGAGAACUGUCCUUACGUGACCUAAAGCUGGAGUAUUUUGAGAUUGGAGAAUUAAGAGUGUGGGCACCCUGGCUUCAAGCUCACGAGAAACCAGAAGGAAGUCACUGUGCAUAGCCAUCCCCUAAGAAGAGGGCAUUCCUGCUCUUCCUUCUCCAUGGCUAGAGGAUCUACAUGAACUAUUUAGAUUUUUUCUACCUGGGAGAUUUAACUCCUCUCUCCUAUUUAUUUAUUUAUAUAUCAGCAUGGACUUGCAGGCCAACAGAGAUUUUGAGAAACACAUUGAAGGAUCUGUUAACACUUGAUAUACCCAAUAAAAGCAGUGGUUGUGCCAGUGCUGAUCUGUCUUGAUGUGAAUGUGAACAAUGGGAACCUGAGCUGAGCAGUUAAUGCUAGGGUGACAGAAACUGGACCUCUCCCAAGACAUGUGACAGAGUAAUACAGCAGCCAACUUCUUCGCCAAAUUAAAGUUUUACAAGAUUUAACCUGUCAUCAAGACCUGGGAUUUUGGUGAGCCAGUCUUGGUGCUCUGUGUUCACCUGGUUCAUCUGAGGAGCUGCAUCUACCCUGCCCAUGCCAUAGAUCCUGCCCUGUUUGCUUCUCCUGUUGCUGCUAGUGGACAUGAGAAGGACAGAAUAACGGGCUCCCAGAUUCACAAGCCCCACCAAGAGGAUCACCCCAGGAACGCUUGGAGGCUGAGGAGUUCACUGAGGCUACUGCAUCUUGAGACUCAGGAUGAAGACCCAGCUUGGGGCUGUCAAAGGUUUUUUGCAUGUCUGACACCCAUGACUCCACCUGGACCUUAUGGCUCCACCCAGAAGCAAUUCAGCCCAACAGGAGGACAGCUUCAACCCAUUACGAUUUCAUCUCUGCCCCAACCACUCAGCAGCAAGCACCUGUUACCUGUCCACCCCCACCCCUUCCCCCAAACUGCCUUUGAAAAAUCCCUAACCUAUGAGCUUUGAAUAAGAUGAGUACGAACUUCAUCGCCCACGUGGCGUGGCCGGCCUCGUGUCUAUUAAAUUCUUUUUCUACUACAA